Molecule: long non-coding RNA, 401 nt
Filed under: Elaeis guineensis (African oil palm)
Lineage: Eukaryota; Viridiplantae; Streptophyta; Magnoliopsida; Arecales; Arecaceae
Description: long non-coding RNA (EGUI_LNC001692)
Source: RNAcentral
AAUAUAAAUAACAUGCUUGAGUGACAAAGAAAUUCUGUGUAGCACUAGUUCCUUGAAUUUUUAUAUUGAUUUCUUUUUUGUGCUCUGGCUUUCUUGGAUCAAUCUUUACUUAUAGGACAGUUCUGAGAUGAAUGGAAGACAUAAUCUUCUAGAAGCAGUAUGAGAUUAUACUUAGCAUUAGCAAACUGAUGGAAAAGACAAGGCUAGCACCAGGGAAGGUGUUGCACGUUCUUCUCAAGACUUCAGACCAGAAGUAGUGAGAAAAAGAAGAAAGGGAAGAGUAGCAUGAUUAACGAGGGGGCUUUCUUAAUAAUAUUGAAACCAAAACAGCUGCAGGUGGUAGGCAAGCAAAAAUAGUGCAUUCCUGGCCAUUUUAGCAUACAAGGGUGCAUGAUCAAGGC